This 497-nucleotide ribosomal RNA is filed under the name uncultured bacterium. RNAcentral's name for it is "partial 16S ribosomal RNA". It matches the Rfam family "Bacterial small subunit ribosomal RNA", at positions 28 to 507 of the family's 1533-position model. The record is from RNAcentral.
GAUGAACGCUGGCGGCGUGCCUAAUACAUGCAAGUCGAGCGAACAGAUGAGGAGCUUGCUCCUCUGACGUUAGCGGCGGACGGGUGAGUAACACGUGGAUAACCUACCUAUAAGACUGGGAUAACUUCGGGAAACCGGAGCUAAUACCGGAUAAUAUAUUGAACCGCAUGGUUCAAUAGUGAAAGACGGUUUUGCUGUCACUUAUAGAUGGAUCCGCGCCGCAUUAGCUAGUUGGUAAGGUAACGGCUUACCAAGGCAACGAUGCGUAGCCGACCUGAGAGGGUGAUCGGCCUCACUGGAACUGAGACACGGUCCAGACUCCUACGGGAGGCAGCAGUAGGGAAUCUUCCGCAAUGGGCGAAAGCCUGACGGAGCAACGCCGCGUGAGUGAUGAAGGUCUUCGGAUCGUAAAACUCUGUUAUUAGGGAAGAACAAAUGUGUAAGUAACUAUGCACGUCUUGACGGUACCUAAUCAGAAAGCCACGGCUAACUACGUG